GUUAAAAAGCUCGUAGUUGGAUUUCUGCCGUAGACGAUCGGUCCGCUCUUUGAGCGUGUAUCUGAUUCGGCUAUGGCAUCCUCGUGAGUUGCGUUGCUGUGCUUGAUUGCAUGGUGCGAAGUUCACGACUUUUACUUUGAGGAAAUUAGAGUGUUCACGGCAGGCAAUUGCCCUGAAUAUAUUAGCAUGGAAUAAUAAUAUAGGACUUUGGUCUUAUUUUGUUGGUUUCUAGGACUAAAGUAAUGAUUAAUAGGGAUAAUUGGGGGCAUUUGUAUUAACGCGUCAGAGGUGGAAUUCUUGGAUUGCGUUACGACAAACUACUGCGAAAGCAUUUGCCAAGGAUGUUUUCAUUGAUCAAGAACGAAAGUAUGGGGAUCGAAGAUGAUUAGAUACCGUCGUAGUCUAUACCAUAAACUAUGCCGACUAGAGAUUGGAGGUCGUUCUUUCCAUGACUCCUUCAGCACCUUAUGAGAAAUCAAAGUCUUUGGGUUCCGGGGGGAGUAUGGUCGCAAGGCUGAAACUUAAAGGAAUUGACGGAAGGGCACCACCAGGAGUGGAGCCUGCGGCUUAAUUUGACUCAACACGGGAAAACUCACCAAGUCCAGACAUAGUAAGGAUUGACAGAUUGAUAGCUC
RNAcentral lists this ribosomal RNA (635 nucleotides) under uncultured marine eukaryote. RNAcentral describes it as "SSU rRNA". It matches the Rfam family "Eukaryotic small subunit ribosomal RNA", at positions 618 to 1257 of the family's 1831-position model. The record is from RNAcentral.